UACGAAGGGGGCUAGCGUUGCUCGGAAUUAUUGGGAGUAAAGUGUACGUAGGCGGCGUGUUAAGUUGGUGGUGAAAUCCUGGAGCUCAACUCCAGAACUGCCUUCGAUACUGAGAGUCUCGAGUCCGAGAGAGGUGAGUGGAACUGCGAGUGUAGAGGUGAAAUUCGUAGAUAUUCGCAAGAACACCAGUGGCGAAGGCGGCUCACUGGCUCGGUACUGACGCUGAGGUGCGAAAGCGUGGGGAGCAAACAGG
Molecule: ribosomal RNA, 253 nt
Filed under: uncultured bacterium
Lineage: Bacteria
Description: partial 16S ribosomal RNA
Rfam family: Bacterial small subunit ribosomal RNA
Source: RNAcentral